CUUUUUCUCGGCGAAGAGCUGAUCCGAAGCAGUUCCGUACUGUGGAGGUACCGGUAACUAGAGGCUGCCCGCAGGGAUCAAUCAGCGGCCCAUUUAUCUGGGACAUACUGAUGGAUGUACUGUUCAGCGUCUCCACCGUAUUGCCAGCUGAGUGCAUACGCGGAUGACUUGCUGCUUCUCGUCGAGGGAAAUUCCCGAGCUGUGCUAGAGGAAAAAGGAGCGCAACUAAUGUCCAAUCGUAGAAACGUGGGGAGCGGAAGUUGGCCGUUGCCGUCUCGACCAGCAAGACGGUAAAUCAUGGCUGCUGAAAGGUGCCUUGAGACGUGCGCCUACGGUGAGGUUUGCUGGAGCGAACCUUCCGUACGUGCGUAGCUGUCGGUACCUUGGCAUCACGGUCUAGUGAAGGAAUGAAAUUCCUCACGCACAUAGCUUCGCUUCGCCAGCGGAUGACAGGAGUCGUUGGAGCAUUGGCGCGUGUGCUUCGAGCCGACUGGGGCUUCAGUCCUCGAGCCAGGCGGACCAUAUAUGACGGACUCAUGGCACCUUGUGUGCUGUUUGGUGCCCCGGUAUGGUAUGACACCGCGGAACAAGUAGCUGCCCAGAGGCGACUAGCCUCCUGCCAGAGGCUAAUCCUGCUUGGAUGCCUUUCGGUAUGCCGAACAGUAUCCACAGUGGCACUGCAGGUACUUGGUGGAGCUCCCCCGCUUGAUCUGGCUGCUAAGUUAUUAGCGAUCAAAUACAAGCUAAAACGUGGAUUCCCGCUGGAGGAGAACGACUGGCUUUACGGCGAGGACAUUGCGUGUCUUAGCUGGGAGCAGAGGAAGACUCGCCUAGAGGAGUGUUUAAUCCAGAGUUGGCAGAACAGAUGGGACGAUGACAGCGAACCAGGACGGGUGACGCAUAGGUUUAUCCCAUACGUCACUCUUGCCUAUCGGGAUCCAAGUUUUGGAUUCUCGAUGAGGACGUCUUUCCUGCUUACAGGGCACGGGUCGUUCAAUGCAUUUUUGCACGGGAGAGCCCUCAGCGAUACCACUGCUUGCGCAUGUGGAGAUCCAUAUGAGGACUGGAUGCAUAUCUUGUGCGCUUGCCCCCUAUAUGCAGAUCUGCGGGACCUAGAUGGACUUGGAGUGCAGCGCCUUGGCGAAAACUGGAUCUUCGAGGGAAUCCUGGAUGAUCAAGAGAAGACUCAACGGCUGGCAAUGUUUGCGGAAGAAGUGUUCCUGAGGAGGAGGGGCGUUUAGCUCAACAUCUCUGCCGUGUGGUUAGCGGGCGAGAAUACUACCACAGUCCGCUGUUGCUUGUCGUAAGAGACGACUAAUACAGCGAUAGGAUUCCUCUAACCCUGCUUGUCGGAGCAAAAGGGGGAGGCCCACCGAGCCUCUUUUCGGUACCACGGGUUGAGCAGCUAUCCAAGACUGCUCAUUGAGGUAGGCCCCCUGGUGGGAGUAUCGUGGUGGCUGUGGUUGGUACCCAUAUCGCGGGUAGAGCCUUCAUGCUCGACGUUUGAGUUACGGUGCUAGUUGCGCAAAACUCGGGUGCUGUGACCCAGAGAUCAGUAGAGAUUUUAGGUAGAUCUCGCUCCUCAGCAAGGGGGAGUGCUUGCCCGGCAAGCAAGUACUCGAAUUGCUACCGGGGUGGUCGCUAUGUACAUAGCUAUAGCUUCUAGUCCGGGACGCUUGUCUGGCGUAUCCAGACACAUGCACCAUAUGCUCACUUGUGGGUGUAUAGGGUGCCGUGGUUGUAAUCCCUUCAGUGUGGAACACGCCACGUAAAAUAAGUUCGGAGGGAUCCGAAAAGCAUACAUUGUCCCUAUCUACUAUCUAGCGAAACCACAGCCAAGGGAACGGGCUUGGAAUAAUUAGCGGGGAAAGAAGACCCUUUUGAGCUUGACUCUAAUCUGGCAGUGUAAGGAGACAUAAGAGGUGUAGAAUAAGUGGGAGAUAUUAGACCUCGGUUUGGUAUCGUCAAUGAAAUACCACUACUCUUAUUGUUUCCUUACUUACUUGAUUAAAUGGAACGUGUAUCAUUUCCUAGCCAUUAUACGGAUAUAUUUAUUAUAUCUUAUGGUAUUGGGUUUUGAUGCAAGCUUCUUGAUCAAAGUAUCACGAGUUUGUUAUAUAAUCGCAAACAAAUUCUUUAAUAAAACGAUGCAUUUAUGUAUUUUUGAUUUGAAAAUUUGGUAUAACUCCAAUUACUCAGGUAUGAUCCAAUUCAAGGACAUUGCCAGGUAGGGAGUUUGACUGGGGCGGUACAUCUCUCAAAUAAUAACGGAGGUGUCCCAAGGCCAGCUCAGUGCGGACAGAAACCACACAUAGAGCAAAAGGGCAAAUGCUGACUUGAUCUCGGUGUUCAGUACACACAGGGACAGCAAAAGCUCGGCCUAUCGAUCCUUUUGGUUUAAAGAGUUUUUAACAAGAGGUGUCAGAAAAGUUACCAUAGGGAUAACUGGCUUGUGGCGGCCAAGCGUUCAUAGCGACGUCGCUUUUUGAUCCUUCGAUGUCGGCUCUUCCUAUCAUUGUGAAGCAAAAUUCACCAAGCGUUGGAUUGUUCACCCAUGCAAGGGAACGUGAGCUGGGUUUAGACCGUCGUGAGACAGGUUAGUUUUACCCUACUAAUGACAAAACGUUGUUGCGACAGCAUUCCUGCGUAGUACGAGAGGAACCGCAGGUACGGACCAAUGGCACAAUACUUGUUCGAGCGAACAGUGGUAUGACGCUACGUCCGUUGGAUUAUGCCUGAACGCCUCUAAGGUCGUAUCCGUGCUGGACUGCAAUGAUAAAUAAGGGGCAAUUUGCAUUGUAUGGCUUCUAAACCAUUUAAAGUUUAUAAUUUACUUUAUAAACGACAAUGGAUGUGAUGCCAAUGUAAUUUGUAACAUAGUAAAUUGGGAGGAUCUUCGAUCACCUGAUGCCGCGCUAGUUACAUAUAAAAGCAUUAUUU
This 2940-nucleotide ribosomal RNA is filed under the name Drosophila melanogaster (fruit fly). Its description in RNAcentral is "eukaryotic LSU rRNA". The stretch from base 1770 to 2940 matches the Rfam family "Eukaryotic large subunit ribosomal RNA", at positions 1891 to 3320 of the family's 3401-position model. Lineage: Eukaryota; Metazoa; Arthropoda; Insecta; Diptera; Drosophilidae. The record is from RNAcentral.